This 375-nucleotide ribosomal RNA is filed under the name uncultured eukaryote. Its description in RNAcentral is "partial 18S ribosomal RNA". It matches the Rfam family "Eukaryotic small subunit ribosomal RNA", at positions 592 to 976 of the family's 1831-position model. The record is from RNAcentral.
CAAUAGCGUAUAUUAAAGUUGUUGCAGUUAAAAAGCUCGUAGUUGGAUGUCGGAGAUUUAGAACUAGCCUCUUCAGAGAGUGCCGGUUUCCGGAUCUCUUCCUUCUGAAGGAUGCGGGUGGCAUUGAUUUGCUGUCCGUGGUCGUCAGAUAGUUUACUUUGAGAAAAUUAGAGUGUUCAAAGCAGGCUCACGCCCGAAUACAUUAGCAUGGAAUAAUGGAAUAGGACUUUUGUCUUAUUUUGUUGGUUUCUAGGACAGAAGUAAUGAUUAAUAGGGAUAGUUGGGGGCACUCAUAUUUAGUUGCUAGAGGUGAAAUUCUUGGAUUUACGAAAGAUGAACUUCUGCGAAAGCAUUUGCCAAGGAUGUUUUCAUUAA